CAGCAGCAGCAGAUUGUUGAAGACCGUGCAAGAAAUAUUAGCCACAAUGUCCGGUGCACUGAGUGUGGCAGCCAGUCCAUUGAAGAUUCACAAGCAGAUGUUGCGGUUCUCCUUAGAAGGCUAAUUCGCGAUGAAAUAAAAUCUGGCAAGAGUGAUAAGGAGAUAUAG
RNAcentral lists this ribosomal RNA (168 nucleotides) under Triticum aestivum (bread wheat). RNAcentral describes it as "partial small subunit ribosomal RNA". Lineage: Eukaryota; Viridiplantae; Streptophyta; Magnoliopsida; Poales; Poaceae. The record is from RNAcentral.